GGCCGCCUGGCGUAAUGGCAACGCGUCUGACUACGACAAGCUCACGGGCUGGGGUAAUCAGGAGAUUGCAGGUUCGACCCCUGCGGUGGUCA
Non-coding RNA from Lentinus tigrinus ALCF2SS1-7, 92 nucleotides. The record is from the annotation of a GenBank genome assembly. Lineage: Eukaryota; Fungi; Basidiomycota; Agaricomycetes; Polyporales; Polyporaceae.